RNAcentral lists this long non-coding RNA (770 nucleotides) under Chelonoidis abingdonii (Abingdon island giant tortoise). Its description in RNAcentral is "lncRNA (ENSCABG00000009794.1)". Lineage: Eukaryota; Metazoa; Chordata; Testudines; Testudinidae. The record is from RNAcentral.
GCCACCAUUAAUCAGCACCCCCAUGUCUUUCCCCAAUCAUGGCUUCUUUCAGAACGUAGGCGCUCUCGUUCUGCAUCACGGGAGAGGGAGAGGAGGCGACGGGAACGUUCAAGGUCCCGGGAAAGGGACAGGAGGAGGAGUCGUUCCCGUUCCCCGCACAGGAGGCGAUCCAGGUCCCCGAGACGGCACAGAUCCAGCUCUUCUUCCCCAUCCCGGCAGAAGGAAAGGCGAGAGGAUGAAAAGAAAGAAAACAAAGACACCAAAAGCAAAGAGCAUCAGAUCACCGAAGAAGAUAUGGAAGGCAAAACAGAGGAGGAAAUUGAGAUGAUGAAAACAAUGGGAUUUGCAUCCUUUGACACAACAAAAGCAGUACAUGAACAGAAAAGGCGGAUUCAACAGACCGUUGGAUUUUAUUGCCUGAUGUCUAGUCUUGUUACCUGUGAAGAAUGACCUCUGGAGCAUGAAUGGUUAACAUUUUAUUGUCUCGCUAUGACUUUUGUGUGCUGGGAUCUCAGAGACAGGAACUCAGCUUCUCACCAUAAAACGAAAUCAGCUUUUUUAUGAGAGUCCAGAAACACUUGCUUUGCCUCCUAGGAAGAGAGGGUAAAAAUGAUGCUUUCUAGAAACAUUGAGUUUGAAUGUGUUCAGGCCUAUUUUGUUCCCUGUCAGGACUUUCCUGUUAGAUGUAUUAUUUUUCAUUUCGUCUAUGACUUUUUUUUUUAAAUAACUAAAUAUCAAUUUCAAUAAAAAAUGGUAUAUAUCUACUCCCA